AUGAAGAGGAAAAAGAAGGAGGCGCUGCGGGGAGAGGCGGCGCCAACAAUUGGUAUCAGAGCUUGGUUGUCUUGGGGCGUCGUUGCUCUUGCCGGCCGGAGGCGUGCCGACAGUGGCGGCGUCCGUCAGCGGCGCGCGAUGAAGUUCCGGGGCCAUGUGUCGGCCUAUGGAGGUGCACGGCACCGCGGCGAGCGUGGCGGCGCUGCACGGCGGCAUGGAGGCUGCGGAGCUCCUGCGUGGCGGCGCGGUGGACUCCAUGUGAUGCGGAGGUUGACGGCGCGAGGUGGAGGUCAUCGGCGGCGUGGUGCUGCUGGUGGCCAGUUGCGGUGUGAUGCUGCUAGAUUCAAGACGGCGUGGUGA
This 360-nucleotide ribosomal RNA is filed under the name Triticum aestivum (bread wheat). RNAcentral describes it as "partial small subunit ribosomal RNA". The record is from RNAcentral. Lineage: Eukaryota; Viridiplantae; Streptophyta; Magnoliopsida; Poales; Poaceae.